CCUACGGGUGGCAGCAGUGAGGAAUAUUGGUCAAUGGACGAGAGUCUGAACCAGCCAAGUAGCGUGAAGGAUGACUGCCCUAUGGGUUGUAAACUUCUUUUAUAUGGGAAUAAAAUGUUCCACGUGUGGGAUUUUGUAUGUACCAUAUGAAUAAGGAUCGGCUAACUCCGUGCCAGCAGCCGCGGUAAUACGGAGGAUCCGAGCGUUAUCCGGCUUUAUUGGGGUUAAAGGGAGCGUAGGUGGAUUGUUAAGUCAGUUGUGAAAGUUUGCGGCGCAACCGUAAAAUUGCAGUUGAAACUGGCAGUCUUGAGUACAGUAGAGGUGGGCGGAAUUCGUGGUGUAGCGGUGAAAUGCUUAGAUAUCACGAAGAACUCCGAUUGCGAAGGCAGCUCACUGGACUGCAACUGACACUGAGGCUCGAAAGCGUGGGGAGCAAACAGGAUUAGAUACCCCAGUAGUC
This 460-nucleotide ribosomal RNA is filed under the name uncultured bacterium. RNAcentral describes it as "partial 16S ribosomal RNA". It matches the Rfam family "Bacterial small subunit ribosomal RNA", at positions 338 to 795 of the family's 1533-position model. The record is from RNAcentral.